RNAcentral lists this unclassified non-coding RNA (158 nucleotides) under uncultured Ascomycota. Its description in RNAcentral is "sequence contains ITS1". The record is from RNAcentral. Lineage: Eukaryota; Fungi; Ascomycota.
AAGAGAUUUCCUGCCCUCUUGGGUAGACCUCCAACCCUUUGUAUAUCAUACCAUUGUUGCUUUGGCAGGCCCGUCUCCGACCGCCGGUGUACUCUGGCCAGCGCCUGCCAGAGGAUCCAACUCUGAAUAUAUGUAGUCCGAGCACUUUAAAACAGUUA